CGGACGGGUGAGUAAUGUCUGGGAAACCGCCUGAUGGAGGGGGAUAACUACUGGAAACGGUAGCUAAUACCGCAUAACAUCGCAAGACCAAAGAGGGGGACCUUAGGGCCUCUUGCCAUCGGAUGUGCCCAGAUGGGAUUAGCUAGUAGGUGGGGUAAAGGCUCACCUAGGCGACGAUCCCUAGCUGGUCUGAGAGGAUGACCAGCCACACUGGAACUGAGACACGGUCCAG
RNAcentral lists this ribosomal RNA (232 nucleotides) under uncultured bacterium. RNAcentral describes it as "partial 16S ribosomal RNA". It matches the Rfam family "Bacterial small subunit ribosomal RNA", at positions 99 to 334 of the family's 1533-position model. The record is from RNAcentral.